AGAGUUUGAUCCUGGCUCAGAAUUAACGCUGGCAGAGUGCAUAACACAUGCAAGUCGAGCGGAACUAUCUGCGAUUACAUCAAGGGUAGUUUAGCGGCAGACGAGUGAGUAACACGUAGGCAAUCUACCCUCGAAUGGCGAAUAACCAGCCGAAAGGUUGGCUAAUGCGCCGUACUCUCCCCGGGAGGCAUCUCCUGGGG
RNAcentral lists this ribosomal RNA (200 nucleotides) under uncultured bacterium. RNAcentral describes it as "partial 16S ribosomal RNA". It matches the Rfam family "Bacterial small subunit ribosomal RNA", at positions 8 to 200 of the family's 1533-position model. The record is from RNAcentral.